Molecule: long non-coding RNA, 3381 nt
Organism: Herpailurus yagouaroundi (jaguarundi)
Lineage: Eukaryota; Metazoa; Chordata; Mammalia; Carnivora; Felidae
Exons: 3
Source: RefSeq, a predicted model, not a curated record
AGAGUACAACAUGGGUGAGGCGGUGGCGGGUGAGGGGGGAGGUGGUUGGGGAAGGAGGCUGGAUGGCUCUGAUCGCCCAGGCCAGAAAGGGAGGAUCCCCGUGGUCAGGUACUGGGAGCCAGUUCUGCGUCCCUGCCUCCCGACUUCAGGCUAAGGGAUGGCGAAGGUUGAGAGCCGGCUCAAGACGACCUGUGGUUUUUCCUUGCAGUCCUGUAACCCUCCUCUAUCCACAGAUGAGACCACCCAUCCCCACUCUGACCCCGGGCCUGGGUAGUUCCACACCUAGGGACACAGGGGCCCCUCUGAGCCGGAAGAGAGAACCCUGCCCUGGUAGGAGUAGGUCUCCCCACCAAUGCAGCCCAAAGCCCCAGGGAGCAGAUAUUUACAGAACUGCCAAGCUUGGGCCCUCAGGGCACAGAUCUUCAGCCUGCCUCCCCAACCACCUCAGGACUCCACCAGUGGCCAGCUGCCCCCCCUCUUCCCUGCUAGUGGACCGCUUGGGGAGGACGACUGGCUGAAGGUCCUAGAGAUCUAGGGAGGCCCUUUCCCCAGCCCCGGCUCCUUAAAAGAGUUUUGAGGGCAGAGACCAAGAUAGUGAAUGACGCAGCCGCAUUUCUAGUGGCGGCGGAAAUGGUGUGUGAAGUCUGAAUAUUUGGGCUAGCGGGUGCAAAAACCACCCUAGAUGCCAGGUGCCUCUGGGUGAGUCUCUCCCUGCCUUGCCAAGUCUGGCCCUCUUGCCUUCCUUCUCUUAAACCAUCUUUAACGUGGCAGCCCGCAGCUUCUCCGGCAGCCAAUGUGUUUCUGAUAAAGCACUUUUCUCCCCACUAACAGAUUCCAGCUUUUGGCUCCUGAAGCCACAACACACACGCACACGAGUUCAGGGACCAGGGUUGCAUGAAAUCAGUGCUCAUGUGUUGGCUUCCUUUUUACAUACAUGGUUUAACCAGGAAUCCUGAGAUCAUCCCUCUGCCCAGGUACCAUGGGUAUGGUCAGCUGACGGGGGUGUCCUCCCCUAGUUUGGUACCCAACUCUUCAGGUUGUGUGUGUGCACACACACACACAGGGGAAGGGUCAUGAGAAGGACCUGAGUGAUAUCACUGAGAAGGCAAAGGUUUGCAAGGACUGUAUUAUCUUUGCUCUGUCGACUUGGACUUAACCCUAUAAAAAGAGGAAAGAGAACAGAAUUAAUGAAAGCAUCAAGUUCGGGGUCAUAUGUAGAAGGAGUCACCACCACAGUUUAAGGAGAAUGAAUCGGUGACUUUAAAGGCUUCCAGGCAUAAUUGGAUGGAGUGGGACAGUCAGUGUGUCCGCUGUAACUCUGAAGUGGACGAUGAUUGUCUUAGCUGAAAACGAAACGAACCCUUUGGGACGCUGUUGAGAAAAAUGCCAAAGAAGAAAAAGUGUGCCCACUCUGGCCACCGAAGACACUAGAGCAAUGCCGUCUGAAAUACAGAUGCCAUUUUCAUUCUUCCCUUCUUGCCUUCAGAACCCCAAUUUACAGAAGAAAAAAGAAAAAAAAAACCUUAGACAAAAGUCGAGCAGGGCCAAUACUAGUUACUUUUGGCACAAAGGUCUUGCGGUAUGUUUUUUAAUGGAGGGGGUGGGAGUGGGGUGAGGUGUGGGAGUAUUUGAGUGAGGAGAGAGAUCAAUAAUAUCUCUGAUACUAACGUCUAAGGAUAAUCGUUUGAGAAUUGAGAUGCUUUUGACCAAGUACUUCCAACCUCUAGACGGAAAAGACGCUGUGUAAAUACUUGUCUGAUCAAAUACUGGUCUGAUGUGUCAUUAUUGUUUUUUUCAGUGACCCUCAACUUUGAUAGAUGGGGACAGUGGGGUCCUGGAGAGAGCAUGGUCACUUAGCGUUACUUCGAUGCACGUCACAGCCGAACACAAAACAAUGUCCCCCACUUAAUACAAUAAACACUGGGGACUCACUGCCUUGUGAGUUCCUCUGAGGGAACCUGCUUUCCCUAGAUAAGAGAUCAAAAGUAGAGGGUAUAUUUUCAUUUUCUGGGUGUCUGUCUUUAAAUCCGGCUUAGUGAAGCAAGGUGUCUCCUCGAUUUUUGGUCGAGGGCAAGAGGACACAGGGUUUUUCCAAAUCUUAUUUUCUCUUUUUAAAAGGUCAGAUUUGUGAGUGACACAGGGGUGAACUGAGCAACUGUGAAAUUCUCAUUGCUUCAGAGUGACUGGGUAUUGUGGAAAUGGAAAGAAUAGGAAAUUAUAUUUCACACUCUAUGAAGCCUUCUUGCUGCUGCUUCUGGUGAUGGUUUUGGACUAGAAUGGGAGGGGCAGGAUAAAGCGGAUCUUGAAGAAAUAGGUAAGUGUGGAAUGCCCCACUCCAAUCUUCCCUACUGCCUUCUCCACGUUCUGACUCAAAGGUGGGUUGGCCUGUGUGGCUACCAGAGCACAUGCGACUUCAAAUUGAGCUAGUUCUGCGUGUCCUUUAUUAACUCAGCUAGCCACUCAGCUAGCUAGCUGUUUUGUCCUUUUGAGAUCCCUAUAUCCUUUUCAUUCUGCUCAACGCUUUAUAUAAGCGCAGUGGCAGUAAAAAAUUAGAGCCAGGGAAGAGGGUUCCCGCUGAAAAUUUUAUGGAUCAGCUGAGACAAGAGUCAAAUGGCUACCAGGACUUCAGCUACUAGCUUGGGAAACCAGUUAUUCCCAAUUUUUUUUUUAACUGAACCCCUAGAUGAUUCUCUUCAAGUUCACUCACAGUAGAACGUUAGCAAGUUUUCUGAAAUGGUUUCCCUGUAAGGGCUGACAAGGGGGGAUGGUCAAAUUUUCCAGCUGGGGAGGCUUUUCGAUUUGGAACCAAACUGAAUUUUGGCUUGCGUCUCUAGAAAAGAAACUGGUCAUGGCUGUGGGGCCCAGAACCCCGAGAGAUGAUAAGCAUUUGCAAUCUUGAGCGCUUAUCUCCUCCUGUAUCUGGCCUUCUUGCAUUUAUAAAGUAAAUCGGGAAAUCUCACUACAACAGGCUUUCCUGUGAGGAGGCUGGCAUUUCCUGCCUGCCCCACUGGGGACAGGAAUGGAGGGAACACACUGCUGAUGUUCAGGUUUUCCCAUUUCAGCCCUGCAGCUGCUGCGGGGGUUGGGGUGGGGGGGCGGGGGGGUGGGGAGAAGAGGGCACCCACCCAGAGAUCAGCAAUGGUGUGAAUUCGAGCUAAGGAGGUCAUUGUUUUCCUGAUACACUUUUCAUACAGCCUUCUUACACAUAAAAUAAGAAAAGAAACACCCAUUGUUACUUAUUUGAACACACACACAUGCCCAGGUACAUAUUCUGCAUAUGUGUGUUGCAUGGAUACCCAGCUGUCUUGCUUUGAUGAAAUUGAUAUAUAUUGUCAUAUACUUCUGACAAACUGCCAUUAAAUUGGUUAUCUUAAAAUAUAA